AUCCAGCUGACAAGUCCCACAUAGGACGAAGUGGCACGCGUCCUGCAU
Molecule: non-coding RNA, 48 nt
Filed under: Schistosoma mansoni
Lineage: Eukaryota; Metazoa; Platyhelminthes; Trematoda; Strigeidida; Schistosomatidae
Source: RNAcentral